AUUGAACGCUGGCGGCAGGCCUAACACAUGCAAGUCGAACGAGUGGCGGACGGGUGAGUAAUGUCUGGGAAACUGCCUGAUGGAGGGGGAUAACUACUGGAAACGGUAGCUAAUACCGCAUACCAUCAGAUGUGCCCAGAUGGGAUUAGCUUGUUGGUGGGGUAACGGCUCACCAAGGCGACGAUCCCUAGCUGGUCUGAGAGGAUGACCAGCCACACUGGACAGGCGACACGGUCCAGACUCCGACGCGCGGCAGCAGUGGGGAAGUUUGCACAGUGGGCGCAAGCCUGAUGCAGCAAUGCCGCGUGUAUGAAGAGGGCCUUCGGGUUGUAGAGUACUUUCAGCGGGGAGGCGUUACCCGCAGAAGAAGCACCGGCUAACUCCGUGCCAGCCGCCGCGGUAAUUC
This 406-nucleotide ribosomal RNA is filed under the name uncultured bacterium. RNAcentral's name for it is "partial 16S ribosomal RNA". It matches the Rfam family "Bacterial small subunit ribosomal RNA", at positions 30 to 526 of the family's 1533-position model. The record is from RNAcentral.